Molecule: small nucleolar RNA, 80 nt
Organism: Hyaena hyaena (striped hyena)
Lineage: Eukaryota; Metazoa; Chordata; Mammalia; Carnivora; Hyaenidae
Product: small nucleolar RNA SNORD87
Exons: 1
Source: RefSeq, a predicted model, not a curated record
AGUGUCAGAACAAUCACUGUACUCCAUUUACCCAGCAGAGGGUUUCUUUGAAGAAAUAAUUUGAAGACUGAGAUGCCAGU